This 820-nucleotide ribosomal RNA is filed under the name uncultured Staphylococcus sp. RNAcentral's name for it is "bacterial SSU rRNA". It matches the Rfam family "Bacterial small subunit ribosomal RNA", at positions 89 to 893 of the family's 1533-position model. Lineage: Bacteria; Bacillati; Bacillota; Bacilli; Caryophanales; Staphylococcaceae. The record is from RNAcentral.
ACGUUAGCGGCGGACGGGUGAGUAACACGUGGGUAACCUACCCUAUAACGACUGGGACAACUUCGGGCAAACCGGAGCUAAUACGGAUAAUAUGUUGAACCGCAUGGUUCAAUAGUGAAAGAUGGUUUUGCUAUCACUUAUAGAUGGACCCGCGCCGUAUUAGCUAGUUGGUGAGGUAACGGCUCACCAAGGCAACGAUACGUAGCCGACCUGAGAGGGUGAUCGGCCACACUGGAACUGAGACACGGUCCAGACUCCUACGGGAGGCAGCAGUAGGGAAUCUUCCGCAAUGGGCGAAAGCCUGACGGAGCAACGCCGCGUGAGUGAUGAAGGUCUUAGGAUCGUAAAACUCUGUUAUUAGGGAAGAACAAACGUGUAAGUAACUGUGCACGUCUUGACGGUACCUAAUCAGAAAGCCACGGCUAACUACGUGCCAGCAGCCGCGGUAAUACGUAGGUGGCAAGCGUUAUCCGGAAUUAUUGGGCGUAAAGCGCGCGUAGGCGGUUUUUUAAGUCUGAUGUGAAAGCCCACGGCUCAACCGUGGAGGGUCAUUGGAAACUGGAAAACUUGAGUGCAGAAGAGGAAAGUGGAAUUCCAUGUGUAGCGGUGAAAUGCGCAGAGAUAUGGAGGAACACCAGUGGCGAAGGCGACUUUCUGGUCUGUAACUGACGCUGAUGUGCGAAAGCGUGGGGAUCAAACAGGAUUAGAUACCCUGGUAGUCCACGCCGUAAACGAUGAGUGCUAAGUGUUAGGGGGUUUCCGCCCCUUAGUGCUGCAGCUAACGCAUUAAGCACUCCGCCUGGGGAGUACGACCGCAAGG